CCUACGGGUGGCAGCAGUGGGGAAUAUUGCACAAUGGGCGAAACCCUGAUGCAGCAACGCCGCGUGAGUGAGGAAGUAUUUCGGUAUGUAAAGCUCUAUCAGCAGGGAAUAGAAAAGAAGGUACCUGAAAAAGAAGCACCGGCUAACUACGUGCCAAGAGCCGCGGUUAUAAGUAGGGGGCAAGCGUUAUCCGGAUUUACUGGGGGUAAAGGGAGCGUAGGCGGAAAGGUAAGUCCGAAGGGAAAGGCCAAGGCUCAACCCUGGGACUGCUUUUGAAACUGGCAAACUAGAGUACGGGAGAGGUAAGAGGAAUUCCUAGUGUAGCGGUGAAAUGCGUAGAUAUUAGGAAGAACACCAGUGGCGAAGGCAGCUUACUGGCCCGAAACUGACGUUGAGGCACGAAAGCGUGGGGAGCAAACAGGAUUAGAUACCCUAGUAGUC
Molecule: ribosomal RNA, 441 nt
Filed under: uncultured bacterium
Lineage: Bacteria
Description: partial 16S ribosomal RNA
Rfam family: Bacterial small subunit ribosomal RNA
Source: RNAcentral